Molecule: long non-coding RNA, 2267 nt
Filed under: Homo sapiens (human)
Lineage: Eukaryota; Metazoa; Chordata; Mammalia; Primates; Hominidae
Description: PREDICTED lncRNA (TCONS_00018936)
Rfam family: Metazoan signal recognition particle RNA (bases 1044-1160)
Source: RNAcentral
GCAUAGUACUGAUUGCAGUAGGAGUCGGUGGGCCUCGAGUAGGUGGGCCUCCGUAGGGAGCCAGCGUGGAUCGAGUGCGGGGCCUGGACUUCCCGCCCCCUCCGCACUGCAGACUCUGCGGUGAUUUAAAGGUGCCUGGCGGUGGUACGGGAUCCAACUGUAAAAUGUCAUCCCAGCUAGUGUGACAUCACCACAGUUUAGUGUGACACCCCCAGAGCUUGGGCAGUGUACGGGACGACAGUGCCUAGCAGAGGAGCUUCACUGCCGGUGAGGGAUUACCUCAGAAACUUCCUUCUACUACUUAAAGUCCUCACAUUGGGCUGACCUGGGAAACAUGAAGAUAAAAAGAGUGGGUAAACAUGCCUGCUUGAUGAGCCAGAAAAAAAGGCAGAAACCUGUGGUCUGGGUAGAACAGAUCCUGCUCAGAAUGUAAGCUUCAAACAUGUUUAUCAUGCCUUGGUUCAACCUAACUCUCUGACAUGUUCCUAAACUCCUGCUCUCUCAAGUUAUGUCCCUUUCCUCUUUUCAAAUAUCUCUCAGAAUUCACCCUUUCGGGAACCUUUGCUGAUUGACUCCUAUUUUAUUUGAAUUCUGCAUCAUCAUCUGAUUACUUAAAUUAACCUGUACCUUCUUUAUUUAUACUUGUUAACUUCUAUUUUCAUUGCUCUUAGGUCCUCAGUCUUUCUCACUAUACGGAGAGCUUCUUAAAGUCUGUAUUUUCUCCUCUUUAGUAUCAUUCACUCAUUCAUCCAGCAAACUGCUUGUGUGCCUGCUCUGUGCUAUACACUCUUCUAGACACUGGGUCAGGUAUGAAUGAGACAGGUGAAUAAAGCAUGGUCUUUUCCCUCAGGGACCUUACAGUCUAAUGAGGAAAAAACGUGUGCAGACAUAUAUAAGAUAAGUGAGAGAGUCGGAGAAGAACAUCAGAAGUGAUAUUUGAGCAUAGUAAGGUCAAAGAAGUUUCAAAGUUUAGUCAUUUGUCCAUUCAGUAACUAUUUAUAGAGCAUCUUCUGUGUGCUAGGCACUAUAUAAGAAAUUAAGGGGCUGGGUGUGGUGGCUCAUGCCUGUAAUCCCAGCACUUCGGGAGGCUGAGGCAGGUGAAUCACCUGAGGUCAGGAGUUCGAGACCAGCCUGGCCAACAUGGUGAAACCCCGUCUCUACUAAAAAUACAAACAUUAGCCAAGUGUAGUGGCGCAUGCCUGUAAUCCCAGCUACCCUGGAGGCUUAAGCAGAAGAACCGCUGGAACCCAGGAGAAGAAGGCUACCAUGAGCCGAGAUUGCACCAUUGCACUCCAGCCUGGGCGACAGUGAGACUCUGUCUCAAAAAAAAAAAAAAGAAAGAAAGAAAGAAAUAAAAAAAAAAGAAAUUAAGGAUACACAGAAGAAAAGGCAUGGUCUGUGCCCUGAAGGAGCUUACAGUUAAGCAGAGAAGUUGCACGAUUUGGAAGUAGUAAGGUAAAUUGAGUCAGAUUUUGAAAGGCAAUGUAGAGCUGUUAGAAGUUUAUUCGCACAGGUAGCCAGGCACAGUGGCUCAUGCCUGUAAUCCCAGCACUUUGGGAAGCCAAGGUGGCAGAUCACUGGAGGUCAGGAGUUCAAGACCAGCCUGGCCAACACAGUGAAACCCCAUCUCUACUACAAAUACAAAAAUUAGCCAGAUAUGGUGGCAUAUGCUUGUAAUCCCAGCUACUCGGGAGGCUGAGGCAGGAGAAUCGCUUGAAUCCGGGAGGCAGAGGUUGCAGUGAGCCGAGAUCGUGCCACUGCAGUCUAGGCUGGGCAAACAGAGCCAGACUCUGUCUCAAAAAAGAAGUUUAUUCAGACAGGAAAGAAGGCGAGAAGGGGCAGAUAUGUGAAAUACAUCCUCCUAAACCAAGUCAGAGCAACUGGAGAGGGAGGUGGAGCAGUUAGCAAUCGGAAGCAUUCAAGUUUCAUUCAGGGUAUAAACCAGGAAAAGUUGUUCUGGCCCCUCAUCUGGUUUCAUGAAGGACAAUAUCUAGCAUGAGAGUGACAGGGGUUAGAAUAAUGGACAUUUUGGGGACUGGGUCCUAGCAGAAAUGAUGGAAUAAUGGAACAGGAGUUUGGAUGAAUGGGCAUAUUAUGGGAUUAAAGAAGAUUUGAAUACAAGCUUUCCUAAUAAAUGAAAGGGGAGGUGAAACUAGAGCAUGCUGAUGGCUGCACAGCAUUGUGAAUGCACUAAAUGCACUAACUGUCCACUUUAAAAUGUUUAGUAAUAUGUCGAUUUUACCUAAAUAAAAAAAAGGAAGCAACAU